This 440-nucleotide ribosomal RNA is filed under the name uncultured bacterium. Its description in RNAcentral is "partial 16S ribosomal RNA". It matches the Rfam family "Bacterial small subunit ribosomal RNA", at positions 338 to 795 of the family's 1533-position model. The record is from RNAcentral.
CCUACGGGAGGCUGCAGUGGGGGAUAUUGCACAAUGGGGGGAACCCUGAUGCAGCGACGCCGCGUGGGUGAAGAAGCGCCUCGGCGCGUAAAGCCCUGUCAGCAGGGAAGAAAAUGACGGUACCUGAAGAAGAAGCCCCGGCUAACUACGUGCCAGCAGCCGCGGUAAUACGUAGGGGGCAAGCGUUAUCCGGAUUGACUGGGUGGAAAGGGGGCGCAGACGGCGAUGCAAGCCAGGAGUGAAAGCCCGGGGCCCAACCCCGGGACUGCUCUUGGAACUGCGUGGCUGGAGUGCAGGAGGGGCAGGCGGAAUUCCUGGUGUAGCGGUGAAAUGCGUAGAUAUCAGGAGGAACCCCGGUGGCGAAGGCGGCCUGCUGGACUGCAACUGACGUUGAGGCCCGAAAGCGUGGGGAGCAAACAGGAUUAGAUACCCCAGUAGUC